GUACACUCCUGCGGGAGGCAGCAGUGGGGAAUUUUGGACAAUGGGCGAAAGCCUGAUCCAGCAAUGCCGCGUGAGUGAAGAAGGCCUUCGGGUUGUAAAGCUCUUUUGUCAGGGAAGAAACGGUGAGAGCUAAUAUCUUUUGCUAAUGACGGUACCUGAAGAAUAAGCACCGGCUAACUACGUGCCAGCAGCCGCGGUAAUACGUAGGGUGCAAGCGUUAAUCGGAAUUACUGGGCGUAAAGCGUGCGCAGGCGGUUUUGUAAGUCUGAUGUGAAAUCCCCGGGCUCAACCUGGGAAUUGCAUUGGAGACUGCAAGGCUAGAAUCUGGCAGAGGGGGGUAGAAUUCCACGUGUAGCAGUGAAAUGCGUAGAUAUGUGGAGGAACACCGAUGGCGAAGGCAGCCCCCUGGGUCAAGAUUGACGCUCAUGCACGAAAGCGUGGGGAGCAAACAGGAUUAGAUACCCGAGUAGUCCCAUGA
RNAcentral lists this ribosomal RNA (478 nucleotides) under uncultured organism. RNAcentral's name for it is "partial 16S ribosomal RNA". It matches the Rfam family "Bacterial small subunit ribosomal RNA", at positions 331 to 800 of the family's 1533-position model. The record is from RNAcentral.